CCCUUAGAUGUUCUGGGCCGCACGCGCGCUACACUGAUGCGUUCAACAAGUUUCCUUGGCCGAGAGGCCUGGGCAAUCUUCUUAAUAUGUAUCGUGAUAGGGAUAGAUUAUUGCAAUUAUUAAUCUUGAACGAGGAAUUCCUAGUAAACGCAGAUCACCAAUCUGCAUUGAUUACGUCCCUGCCCUUUGUACACACCGCCCGUCGCACCUACCGAUUGGAUGUUCCGGUGAAGCCUCGGGAUGAGGACUGGUGCCUUUAUUGGCAUGAGUUGUUCAGAACUUGUCUAAACCUUAUCAUCUAGAGGAAGGUGAAGUCGUAACA
This 322-nucleotide ribosomal RNA is filed under the name uncultured eukaryote. Its description in RNAcentral is "partial 18S ribosomal RNA". It matches the Rfam family "Eukaryotic small subunit ribosomal RNA", at positions 1470 to 1796 of the family's 1831-position model. The record is from RNAcentral.